This 227-nucleotide long non-coding RNA is filed under the name Arabidopsis lyrata. RNAcentral describes it as "long non-coding RNA (ALYR_LNC003415)". Lineage: Eukaryota; Viridiplantae; Streptophyta; Magnoliopsida; Brassicales; Brassicaceae. The record is from RNAcentral.
AACGAAAUCACUUCGAUCAUUGGGUGGUUAGCCUCUUGAUCUCAAUCGAUUCCAAGGUGGUUAGCCGAAGAGUCACAACCGUUCCUUAGGUGGUUAGCCUACGGUUCAAACCAGGUUUACCGAGUGCCGUUCAUAGCCCUCGACGCAGCCAUUCACUUUCCCCGCCUUGUUCAUCCAAGGAUCUAUCCAUUUCAAUACCAACAAGAGUGUGCAAUCUUUGGGAGUUC